AAAAAAGUUUUCGGCUCUAUUUAUAAACGAAUACCAGAGGCCAGAACGGCUGUACAGGCCUGGAGGAGCUAUGGAAAACGGAUCAAAGAAAUGGGGUUUUCAGGCCGAUAAGGGCCUCAACGCAGCCUCGGCUAUAACAGUUCGUGGAGUUCUCAACGAGUUAAUCGAGAGUCUCAACAAACAAGACCAAAGACCAGUUAUUCCUCUCGGUCACGGCGACCCUUCUGCCUUCCCUUGCUUCCGUACCACUUCUGUUGCCGAAGAUGCCAUUGUCGACGCCUUAAAGUCCGCCAAAUUCAACUGCUAUGCACCGACUGUUGGUAUUCUUACUGCCAGGAGGGCUAUUGCAGAUCACCUUAAUCGUGACCUCCCAUUCAAGUUAUCACCAGAUGAUGUUUUUGUUACACUUGGAUGC
This 415-nucleotide unclassified non-coding RNA is filed under the name Hevea brasiliensis (rubber tree). Lineage: Eukaryota; Viridiplantae; Streptophyta; Magnoliopsida; Malpighiales; Euphorbiaceae. The record is from RNAcentral.